CCUACGGGAGGCAGCAGUGGGGGAUAUUGCACAAUGGGGGAAACCCUGAUGCAGCGACGCCGCGUGAGUGAAGAAGUAUUUCGGUAUGUAAAGCUCUAUCAGCAGGGAAGAAAAUGACAGUACCCGACCUAGAAGCCACCGCGAACCACGUGCCAGGCGCCGCGGGUAUACGUUGGGGGCAAGCGUUAUCCGGAUUUUCUGGGUGGAAAGGGGGCCUUGACGGUUAUGUAAGUCUGGAGUGAAAGCCCCGGGCCCAACCCCGGGACUGCUUUGGAAACUGUGUAACUGGAGUGCAGGAGAGGCAGGCGGAAUUCCUGGUGUAGCGGUGAAAUGCGUAGAUAUCAGGAGGAACACCGGCGGCGAAGGCGGCCUGCUGGACUGAAACUGACGUUGAGGCUCGAAAGCGUGGGGAGCAAACAGGAUUAGAUACCCUAGUAGUC
RNAcentral lists this ribosomal RNA (440 nucleotides) under uncultured bacterium. RNAcentral's name for it is "partial 16S ribosomal RNA". It matches the Rfam family "Bacterial small subunit ribosomal RNA", at positions 338 to 795 of the family's 1533-position model. The record is from RNAcentral.